Molecule: ribosomal RNA, 495 nt
Filed under: uncultured bacterium
Lineage: Bacteria
Description: partial 16S ribosomal RNA
Rfam family: Bacterial small subunit ribosomal RNA
Source: RNAcentral
GACGAACGCUGGCGGCGUGCCUAAUACAUGCAAGUAGAACGCUGAAGGAGGAGCUUGCUUCUCUGGAUGAGUUGCGAACGGGUGAGUAACGCGUAGGUAACCUGCCUGGUAGCGGGGGAUAACUAUUGGAAACGAUAGCUAAUACCGCAUAAGAGUAGAUGUUGCAUGACAUUUGCUUAAAAGGUGCAAUUGCAUCACUACCAGAUGGACCUGCGGUGUAUUAGCUAGUUGGUGGGGUAACGGCUCACCAAGGCGACGAUACAUAGCCGACCUGAGAGGGGGAGUGGCCAACCUGGGAGUGAGACAGGGCCCAGACUCCUACGGGAGGGAGCAGGAGGGAAUCGUCAGCAAUGGACGGAAGUCUGACCGAGCAACGCCGCGGGAGUGAAGAAGGUUUUCGGAUCGUAAAGCUCGGUUGUAAGAGAAGAACGAGUGUGAGAGUGGAAAGUUCACACUGUGACGGUAUCUUACCAGAAAGGGACGGCUAACUACGUG